Molecule: non-coding RNA, 220 nt
Organism: Pelobates cultripes (western spadefoot toad)
Lineage: Eukaryota; Metazoa; Chordata; Amphibia; Anura; Pelobatidae
Source: the annotation of a GenBank genome assembly
CCGGAAGCUCUUGAGGCUUUUGAAUGUCUUAAGACUGCGUUCGCUUCUGCUCCUAUUUUACAGCAUCCUGUCCCUUCUUUGCCUUUAAUUCUUGAAGUUGAUGCUUCAAAUAUUGGGGUGGGUGCUGUCUUGUCUCAAAGGGAAUCACCAGAGAAGCCAUUAUAUCCUUGUGGUUUCUUUUCCAAGCAGAUGUCCAAGGCCGAAAAGAAUUAUGACAUAG